AUUUUUUUCUUUGUGCCUCCUUUGGCUUGGGCUUAGAGCACUGGCAGGGAAAGUAAAAAGGAGGCAGGCAGACAAACGGGAGGACAGAAGGGGAAAGAGCUGAAGUCCCGCAGGCGGGACCUGGAGGGAGGCUGGGGCGGGUGGCGGCAGUGAGGGGCUUCCCCUGCUCCUGGCGGAUAACAGAGCGUGAAUGGUGAAAGUCUCUAAACAAACAUCUCAAUAACCCGCGUGCUGUAAUUGUCAUGUUGUUAAGCAUUUCCUCACUGACAUACUCCACAUUUAGCCUCUAAUCUCCAAAGUGGAUGUCAAAGCAGUUUCCGACAUCUUUAGAGAGCUUGUCCUGCAGGGUUUUCUGUUACCGCCAAGAGCGUCGUCAUAUGCGAUGCCCUUCGUGGCCAGGGGCCAGAGACUUAAAUGAAGUCAAGUGAGUAAAGUAAGUGCAAGCUAGUCUCCUCUGCACUGGGGAGUUGAAAUGCGUGUACGGAGAGUGUCUAGAAAAGAUGAAAAUCCGAGGUUCGUAGCUCCAAAUCAUUACAUCCUCAACAACAGAACAUGAUCAUUACCCACGAGAGAAAGGGACAAAAUUCUCCUCCUAUACUGAUUAUUGUUAUGGCAGGAAGCAAUAACUCCUUUGUUAUGAAAAUAGUGUUUGUUAUGAAACAAACAGAGUGAGCAGCCAUCUAGAUAAACAUUCCCUCUAACAAGGCUACCGUCUCUGUGAUGUUU
This is a long non-coding RNA of Neopsephotus bourkii (Bourke's parrot), 726 nucleotides long. RefSeq lists it as uncharacterized. The transcript is spliced from 3 exons. Lineage: Eukaryota; Metazoa; Chordata; Aves; Psittaciformes; Psittacidae. The record is from RefSeq and is a predicted model, not a curated record.